GACGAAGGGGGCAAGCGUUGUUCGGAAUUACUGGGCGUAAAGGGCGCGUAGGCGGCCGCUUUAGUCAGGUGUGAAAGCCCUGGGCUCAACCUGGGAAUUGCACUUGAUACUGGGUGGCUGGAGAGCGGGAGAGGAUGGUGGAAUUCCCAGUGUAGAGGUGAAAUUCGUAGAUAUUGGGAAGAACACCAGUGGCGAAGGCGGCUAUCUGGACCGGUAUUGACGCUGAGGCGCGAAAGCGUGGGGAGCAAACGGG
Molecule: ribosomal RNA, 253 nt
Filed under: uncultured bacterium
Lineage: Bacteria
Description: partial 16S ribosomal RNA
Rfam family: Bacterial small subunit ribosomal RNA
Source: RNAcentral